GGGCCGGUCGUCUAAUGGAAGGACGCUGCCUUGGCGAGGCAGAGGUUCCGGGUUCGAAUCCCGGCCGGUCCA
The sequence is a transfer RNA, 72 nucleotides long. It matches the Rfam family "tRNA". From Rfam's summary of the family: Transfer RNA (tRNA) molecules are approximately 80 nucleotides in length. Their secondary structure includes four short double-helical elements and three loops (D, anti-codon, and T loops).